CCGUCAGGAUUUUGGACCCAAAUUAUAGCUUCUGCGAUCUGAGAACCAUCUUCGCUGUCCAGACAUAUGGAAUCUCUAAACCGAUGUAUGAGCAUCUUAUCCCUUACGUCACACUCAGCGUCACCUUCUUAUCUCUUUGUAUUCUAGGUUACAGUUACUACAGAUAUGUGUAUAUAUUCCGUGAAAUACAAGAAAGGGCAAAAGCUAAAAAAUCUUAAAAACUCUGUUUUUAGUUUAUAAAAAUCAGUUUAUAAAAAUAUUUUAAUAAAGCUUGGUGUUAACGGUGUUUGGUGAUAUUUGCAUUGGAAAUCAUUUA
Clupea harengus (Atlantic herring) is the source of this 316-nucleotide long non-coding RNA. RefSeq lists it as uncharacterized. The transcript is spliced from 3 exons. The record is from RefSeq and is a predicted model, not a curated record. NCBI's taxonomy places the organism in Eukaryota, Metazoa, Chordata, Actinopteri, Clupeiformes, Clupeidae.